RNAcentral lists this long non-coding RNA (236 nucleotides) under Gossypium barbadense (sea-island cotton). Its description in RNAcentral is "long non-coding RNA (GBAR_LNC018636)". The record is from RNAcentral. Lineage: Eukaryota; Viridiplantae; Streptophyta; Magnoliopsida; Malvales; Malvaceae.
UUAGGUUAAUUUUUUUUAAUAUUUAUCGAAAUAUGUUAGUUUUGGAGAGAGAAAUAGAAAAUACGUCUAGUAGAAUGCGUUUUCAGCUAAGCAGGAUAUGUUUUUCGAAAAUGCGUUUUUACAAAAACACAUUUUCUUUUUAACCCAUUAGCCCUUUUAGUUAGAUGAUUAAUUAUUAGUGAUUUUGUCUUUAAAUUCCGAGUUUGAUUCCUUUCCUACUCACAUUUUUAUUUUUU